This 252-nucleotide ribosomal RNA is filed under the name uncultured bacterium. RNAcentral's name for it is "partial 16S ribosomal RNA". It matches the Rfam family "Bacterial small subunit ribosomal RNA", at positions 524 to 776 of the family's 1533-position model. The record is from RNAcentral.
GACAGAGGCCCCAAGCGUUAGGCGGAAUCACUGGGCUUAAAGCGUGCGCAGGCGGCUUUGCAAGACAGAUGUGAAAUCCCCGGGCUCAACCUGGGAACUGCAUUUGUGACUGCAUGGCUGGAGUGCGGCAGAGGGGAUGGAAUUCCGCGUGUAGCAGUGAAAUGCGUAGAUAUGCGGAGGAACACCGAUGGCGAAGGCAAUCCCCUGGGCCUGCACUGACGCUCAUGCACGAAAGCGUGGGGAGCAAACAGG